UGCACCCCCUCCCCCACUCGGACGCAAUAACCCAGCUCAUUGGGUCAAAUCAACUCCGCGCAGGAUCAGCGCAGCGCGGGCUGACUGAAUUCGAGGUGGAGGUGGAUGCCACACACACGCUGUAAUAUUUGGAGAAAUAAGACCUGCUCUUGACUGUCCGUGGUGGCAAAUCCACAGCCUUUAGCUGGAGUAGAAUCAACCGUAUCUGAAGAGAGAGCUGAGGAAAUUAAACAAUGGCUGAGAAACAACACACAGCCCAUCAGCCAGGUGGAACAGUACAUCUGAAAAAUAUGUUUGAGGACCUCCAUGAGUUUCCUCGGCUAACUACCUCAGGCAUGAUUGCACAGGACUUUCACAUUUUACAUUAAGAUGAAGCCCCAAAACUGUUUGAAAAAUGGCUGGUAUACUGACAGGAUCUUGCUUUUUGUGAGCGAGAAGCAAAGCUUUCAUGUACAGCUGAAGAAAUGACAGAAGAUGCAAAGGGAAAUCUUGCACUAAAGCUGUUACCUGUUCUGCUUCUACCUCCACCCUACAAAAUUGACAGAAAAACAGUCCGACCCAGCAUUGAUGAAAGCAAAAAAGCUUUCAUUGACAUUCAGCCUGUUGGAACAAAUAUGGUGGAGUACCUCCAGCAGGCUGAAGCAUCAAGACCUUACCCUUAUGUCCUGUAACUUGAAAAUGGACACAUUGCGUUGCGGGCAUUUGUCAUCCUCGCAGGAGAAGCUUUGGAACAAAUAACUAUUGUUUAAGGGGAAGUCAUGGCCUAAUGGUUAGAGAGUUGGACUCACAAUUUAAGGGUUGUGUGUUCGAGUCUCGGGCCGACAGGAAUUGUAGGUGAGAGGAGUGAAUGUAUAGUGCUCUCUUCCACCCUCAAUACCACGACUUAGGUGCCCUUGAGCAAGGCAUCGAACCCCCAACUGCUCUCCGGGCGCCGCAGCAUAAAUGGCUGCCCACUGCUCAGGGUGUGUGUUCACAGUGUGUGUGUGUGUUCACUGCUCUGUGUGUGUGCACUUCGGAUGGGUUAAAUGCAGAGCAUGAAUUCUGAGUAUGGGUCACCGUACUUGGCUGAAUGUCACUUCACUUUCACUUCACUUCAUUGGGACAGUAAAUGUAUGUUUCAAAUCGUUUUAUGUUUUUGAUGUAAACUAACCGAAACAUUGUUUCUAUAUUAGGGAGUUUAUUCAUAAUAUUUUUGAGUUGGAGGGAAGUGAAUCCCCAACAGUGAAAUUUUUGCACUGGGCACUACAUUCUUGCAAGUAGAUUAUAAGAGGUUCUUUGAACAAACAGUGGUUCAAGAACACGAGGUAGCAUUUUAGUUUAAGUUUUAUUUGCACAUGAGAUUUUUGUUCUGGUUUUUUUGUAUAAACAACUGUUUUAUUGCUUGAGGAAGAGUAUUACUUCAUGCGUACUGAUGAUUAUCAAUUGCAUUUUUAUGUAGAAAUCUUUUACUGCCAAUACCUUGUAU
Molecule: long non-coding RNA, 1465 nt
Organism: Carassius gibelio (silver crucian carp)
Lineage: Eukaryota; Metazoa; Chordata; Actinopteri; Cypriniformes; Cyprinidae
Exons: 6
Source: RefSeq, a predicted model, not a curated record